This is a long non-coding RNA of Suricata suricatta (meerkat), 501 nucleotides long. RefSeq lists it as uncharacterized. NCBI's taxonomy places the organism in Eukaryota, Metazoa, Chordata, Mammalia, Carnivora, Herpestidae. The record is from RefSeq and is a predicted model, not a curated record. The transcript has 3 exons.
UUAGACUAUUUUGAAAGACAUAACGGAAGAAGGAAAGAGAGAGAAAGAAAGAGGGGCAGGGGACCCCGCUGGCUGUAGAAAGAGGGACAGGCUGGGGACCAGGAACAAGGCUGCAUUGAACUCCUUCAGAUGAGGGAUGAGGUACUUGUUGAAGAUGGAGUACUCGUGCAGCUUGGUACUCAGAUGCUUGUGCACCAGCCACAAGGACGCCAUCUCCUGCUUCAUCCUGGCCAGAUUAUGCACAGAGCAGGACCGGAAAUGCUGAGGACUGGGGUCCCCUGUAGGAUUACCCCAGGAGCUGGGCCAGGCCCUGCAGGGCCCCGACAGUGCAGGCUGGAGCUGGUCUGGAGAAAUCUGGAUGGUUAAAUCCUCCUCUAAGGAUGGACGGAGAGGAAUUGGAUUCUGGUGCCGGUCGUUCAACCAACCCCUGCCUGGCCCUUCAGUACCAGGAUGGAGCGGGGGCUGAGUGGCGGGGAAUAAAACUGUCUGGUUCCCCUUGUA